CAGCUCCCGAGCCCCGAACGUCCAUAUCCGGGUUCCCUCCGCCGCUGCCGCCGCCGCCGCCGCCGCUGCCGCUUCGCUCUUCUAGCCCUGUCAGGAGUGGUGUGAUUCCCGACCAAGAUGGCGGCCGUGGGGCGAGUCGGCUCGUUCGGUUCAUCUCCACCCGGGCUAGCCUCGACUUACGCCAGCGGACCCCUAGCCAACGAGCUGGCUUCGGGCAGCGGCGGCCCCGCGGCGGGCGACGAUGAGGACGGGCAGAACCUUUGGUCCUGCAUCCUCAGCGAAGUCUCCACGCGCUCGCGCUCCAAGCUCCCGACCGGGAAGAACGUGCUGCUGCUGGGUAAGUGAUCUCUGCUGUGGCUGGGGUGCACGGUCACAUCCGCUCGCCCACUGCCUUUGUGCGGACAGUCGGCCGGGCUGCGCCCCGCCUCCCGGCUUGCGGCUGACAGCUGGGGGACAAGGGGUCCCCGGUCCUUCCGGCCUGGACCCUCUGGUCUUUUCUCCACCCUGGGAUGUGGGGUGGCUCUGUCAUCUCCACUGGGAGAGACAGAAUGAAAAUAACACCCGAGGGAAUCCCAGUGGUCUGGGAUUCUACCUAGAAAAAUGGGGACAGUUUUUCUGAAAGAGCAUUGGUAGCAUGAGGGCUCUUGGAGAGAGCUCCAGCGCAAAUGCAUGCCAUUAAUAUUUAAUAGCUGACUCUUUUGUGUAAUUGACAGGAGCCAGGGACUGGGUCGUGAUGAGUGUUAUUUGAAUCAGCGUUCUCCCGUUCUCCCAGUGCUGGGUGCUCGGGUUGCAGUUGCCUUUUUAACUGUCACCUAAUAACUCUGAAAUUUGUAAAGGGCAGUAGAACAGCGUUCUCAUUUAGUGCCUUCAGCCGAAUGACUAGAGUAAGGGAGACAUGUCUCUCGCCCUUCUCCUAGGUAAUUUUUUUUUUUUUUUUUUUUUUUUUUUUAUCUACUGGCUGCAAAGUAGGGAUAAAGGACCAAGGGACAAUAAACAAUCCUGGCUUCACAUUUUUGCAAGUCUUUCCAGCCCCAGGAGAAAUUGCAACCCCCACCUUUUCUUUUUACUUGCAGGAUAUUGGGGUGUAUAAUAGGAUGGCAGUAAUAUUUUAAAACUUGGAAGUGGGUGUUUCAAGACUUCAGAUUCUUGAUUUUAGCCAAAAGGCGGAGGGAGAGGCUGUGCCUGAGGAGUUUUAGUUAUGUAUGUCUAAGAAUUGCUACCUGAGAUGCUCCACAGGUGACAGUGAAUGAGUAGGUAGGAAGAAAUGACUCAUUUUCUGUGAUCCUCACCAAUGACAAGCAUAUGCCUGUGUUGUCGAAAGCUGUGGUCAAGCUCGUUGAAAAAUCAGUGUUGUGCCUUGCCCAGCUUUUCCUGUGAUUGAAAGCACCACGUGCAGCGUGCAGAUAGCCAGGACUGAAUAAAGGGCCCGUCAAGUACAAACGAUUCGAGUCUACUGGUGUCCGCAAACCUCAGUUCAUUCACCUUGCAAAUGAGAGUUAUGGGAAAACAGUGGCUGCCUCCUAGAGCUUCGGGAGGGUCAGAUGGUCCACCGUGUAAAGCCAGGUAGCACAGACUUAUGAUAGACUUGAGUGAAUGAGAAAGCAUUCCCGGGAAGUCUUUAACCAGUGGAUUAGGGAUGGCAGUGGAGUUGCCGCUCUGCCUGCUGCUUGCAUUGCUCUGUGCCCAGGAAACCCAUCUUCUUCCUUAAAAGCAAGAAAGGAUUACUGCCUAAAUAAGUGGUAUCAAUAGGGCAGAGGUAAAAUAGGGCCCCAAAGCAACAAAACAAAAACCAGUUCCAGGGAAUGGUUCUAAUUACUAAUGUAGACAGAUUACUAAUGUAGACAGAUCGUGUGUUGGUAAAGUGAACUUAAGACUGAAUGACCCCCUUGGAGUGGAUUCUGUUUAGUUACUCUGUUAAAUAGAUUUCUUUACGAAUCUCAACAGUAAAAAUUGGCAGUCUUUGACCUUUCUGGUGUUUUCUAGAUCCUUCUGACAUUGGGUCAGUCUAUAAGACUUGAGGUACAUAGAGGCCCCACACUCCUAGGCUAGAUUUUCUUUUGAUGAACUUGAUAGUUCAGAAAGCUCCAUCCGGUGUCAUUAUAUAAGCUUGAAAUGUCGUGUUUUUCUUUCAGUACUGUUAGGGUGAGCCCUUUUCAGGUUUGGGAAAGGCUAAUCGUUGAUUUUUUAAAAUACUGUUUAUGCAAAUGCAGUUACUUUCCAAACUUCCUUUAAAGAGUGCGUGGAGGGAUUAAAUGGUUAGGUAUUGUAAGCAGUGUUUAGUCUGCGGUGGUAGAGAAAGGACAUACACAGUGGGUGUUACAGUUGUCUUUGUUCUGAGUUGUAAGGUAUCAGGCCAGGGAGAUGCUUGACUCUAAUCUCUCACUCAUGAAUGAUGGUAGUGUUUUGGAGUCUAAAUUCAAAGAAAAGAAAGCCAGUCUGAGCCCAUUAACAAGACUUUGAAUUUCAGAAUUAGCCUAGUAAUAAAUAGCCUAAGAAAGGAUGAUAUAUAGGCCUCUGACUGAAUCCCUUGCAUAUCCACCCUGCAUAUCCACACAUCACAAUUUAACCCUUAGCUUGCUACUUUACCUGUCCUCCAAGUAGGAUAAAAACACAGGC
Molecule: long non-coding RNA, 2616 nt
Filed under: Rattus norvegicus (Norway rat)
Lineage: Eukaryota; Metazoa; Chordata; Mammalia; Rodentia; Muridae
Description: long non-coding RNA NONRATT033636
Source: RNAcentral